GUUUCCGUGGUGUAGUGGUUAGCACAGUUGCCUGAUACUCGACAGACUCGGGUUCGAACCCCGACGGAGACG
This is a non-coding RNA of Penaeus vannamei (Pacific white shrimp), 72 nucleotides long. The record is from the annotation of a RefSeq genome assembly. Lineage: Eukaryota; Metazoa; Arthropoda; Malacostraca; Decapoda; Penaeidae.